Molecule: non-coding RNA, 264 nt
Organism: Vicia faba (fava bean)
Lineage: Eukaryota; Viridiplantae; Streptophyta; Magnoliopsida; Fabales; Fabaceae
Source: the annotation of a GenBank genome assembly
AUGUGCUUCGUAUCUUCUCAAAGCUAUGGUUCAAGAUCUUCAAGGUUCACUGCUUUAUACUUUAUGAUUUCUUUGGUAAAGGUUCAGGGAGAACUCGUGUGUACUUUGAAAUUACCAUUCAAAGUGUUGAAGCUGAGAAGAAAAAGGCUUAGGAAGAACCCUCUUAGAACGACUUGCAUAAUUGUAUGGAGAAAAAUUAACAUUUAUGCUUACCGUCCAAUAUCGUAUGCAUUAACUUAUCAUGGAUUAAGAGCUUUACAAUAG